Molecule: long non-coding RNA, 4940 nt
Filed under: Canis lupus familiaris (dog)
Lineage: Eukaryota; Metazoa; Chordata; Mammalia; Carnivora; Canidae
Description: lncRNA (ENSCAFG00845001052.1)
Source: RNAcentral
AAAUAAUACAUCUGCUUAUGGCUUUUUUUUUUUUAAGUAGUAUGGAUAUCUUGGUAGAACCCUGGAAGUUCCAUUUAGAUGACAAAAUCAUGUAAUGAAUUAAAUUUCAUGUACUUUACUUUAGCUAACAAAUCAAAGGGGUUCUACAGAUUUUGUGUAGUAUGAGCAAACAAACAAACAAACAAAAAACAGAAAUAGACCCACAAAUUCAGAGAACAAAUUAAUGGUUGCCAGAGGGGAGGAGAGUAGGAAGAUGGGCAAAGUGCUUGAAGGGGACAGGGAAGGGUAGGCUUCCAGUUACGAUGUGAAUAAGGGUAAAAGAUAAAAGAUACAGCACAGGGAAUAUAGUCAAUGGUAGUGUAGAAGCAUCGUUUGGUGACAGAUGGUAGCUACACUUGUGAUGAGCGCAGUGUAACGUAUAGCCUUGUCCAAAUACUAUGUCGUACACCCAAAACCAAUGUAACAUUGUGUGUCAACUAUACUUCAGUAAAAAACAAAACAAAACAAAUAACAGGUAAAUGCAGCCGCUUCCCCUUUUUCCACCAUUCUAGGUCCACCUUUUUGGAUCAUUUAUACGAUGAAUCUAAGGCCCAGGGAAGUUAAGAGUUUAUAAAAGGUAGCUGAUAAGAGGAUCUAUCUUAUCGGGCUAUUGAGAAUAACAAAUUAAAGACUCACACAAAGUACUUAGCACAGUGCAUGACACUGAUUAGUAAUGCAAACUCUUUCAGCUGUUAUUAAUCUGAAAACUAAAACCACAGAACCUUAAUUCAGCUUCUUAGGCCUCUACCUCCCCUGUCAUAUCCACAUCCACCCCGGGCUCCCCCACUCUGCCUUCUUUGGUCAAGUGCCUGACAUUUUUAUGGAGACAUGGCAGCUCUAUUUUGGAAUGUGAUACUUGCAUGGCUUGCGUCCAAGCUCUUGUCCACCAGUGGCCCCCUUCGCAGUUGUGCUUGGUCUUACUUUUAUGCUUGGUCUGGGAGUGAUGACUCUUCUCUAGCUCAUUUUGACCAUCCCAUGGUGAGGAUACCUCCUCCUGGGACUCUCUCCCAGGGUCAAUGCUCUUGUUUCCGGGCACUUACUUCCUUCUUGCACGAUGCCGACCCUGCAUUUGCCUCAGACUCAGCCACCCGAAAUCUUCUUGUUCCUUCAACUGAAUUUUUGACAGAAACUUGCAUUUCAAAAACUGGUUUCAUUACCAUAGCACUAUGGCUCUUGUCAGGACCUGAUGUGAAACCAUCUAGCUUGACUAAGUAGUUACUAAUCUGUUUGGUUUCCAUUUAAACUUCCUUUUCCCCCACCAUGUGCUCAUUACUGUGGUUUAUAUUCAGCUUCUGAUGAUAGCUAACCAUUUUUGUGAAGCCUAGAGCAUAAUAGGUAUUAAAAGCUCAAGCCUUCUGAUGCAUCUGCUAUUUGUUUUCCCUCCCUACUAAUUAGCGGGUCUACAUUCUCCUUUGUCUUGUUCCUAAUGUAUUUGUGAAAUAUUGUCUGGCUGCCCGUUGUUUCUCUUGCUAGUUGCAUCUCACAUUGUGCUUUGGCUUUCCGGCUGCUGUUCCCAUAUUAUACAUGCCCUAUUCUCUUACCCUUGCCUUUAGCAGCGUGCCCUCAUUUUCCCUUUGCAUGUCAUUUUAUCCUGGCAGCUUAAAACUCAGCGUGGGUUUUGCUUUCCAUAGAAUCACUAGCUGGGUGAAAGCUUGAGGACAAGCUCUUAAGCACUGGAGAAUAGAAAUAUUUGGCUCUACAGUAUCUAGUGCUUAGCACAAAAUGUAAAAUAUUCCAGUAUGUUCUAGAAAGUUGACCUAUGCGAACCCAGCAGGCUGGACAGUUAGCCAUGGUGUUAGGUCAAGAUCUAGAUACUCUAAGGUAGCCUUUGUCGAUGGUAGUGAAAAUUGGACAAGGCAUCAGGUAGGAAAGGGGCUUUCAUACCAAUUCCUCUUGUCCUCUUCUGCUCCCAUGAGCACUGGUAGAAAUUUCAGAUUUCUCUAUAGGUCAUUAGAUAAAUGCUUAUGAAUUGUUGAGGGCCAUCUAAUGUUGUCAUGCCAUUUUUGAAAUGUGAAGCAGGCUCACAUUUUUUGUCCCUUACCUGGCUCAAUGCACUGAAAGAUUUAAUAGACCCAACUGUGAAGCAAAAAGUAGGACAAUGAAGUCAAGAACCGUGGCAUGGACUUCCUCAGCUGGUAAUAAGUUGGCAGGCCCGCAAGGACAGCCGUGACCCCUCUUCUGCUUAACCUUCUGACAUUCAGUCAGUGGCCAGAGGGUCUGGGCUCAUCUAGAUAGAAGCAGUCCUUACCUUCCAUAGGCUGUGAAGAUCGCUUCCAGCAUCUGGAGGAACCAGGGCAGCAACUCACGCACGUCUCAUGGGCAGAUCCCAGUAUCUGUUGGUUGCACGGUAAACACAAGGGAAAGCAACCUAGCCGUCCAACUCAAGAUCCUCACUAGUCUUUGAAGCUGGGAUGGACCUUGUGGUCUGGCCUAGCUCAGCAUCUGGGAGGUGUUUGUAAACAGAACAACCUGAAAUUGUUCACCGACAAGAAAGCUUUCUUGGGGAGAAUGGGAUCUGGCAGGAGCACUGUGAGCAUUUCUUUCAUUUUUAGCACUCUGCUUUCAUGGGCUACAUCUGUCAGGACCAUUUUCCUUUCCUUUUUCUACCACUAGGAAGUUGAAUUAGCUGUUGACUUGUGAAGUUCCAAAGCUUCUCUAAUGUUGUACCGUAACACAAAUUGUCAAAAGUAAUGGCGUGGGUCAUUUCAUUUAUUAAAAUUCUGAUCCAUCCACUGAUGAUCUGAAUUCUUUUUUUUUGAUUUAGCCUAACAUCAGGCUAUAUUAAUUUGCUUAGAAGAUUUAUCCAAGAUAUUCAUACAUCCCUAUGUUAAUAGGCCUUCCGAAGCCCGACCCUUUAAAAGACAAUUGUUUCCAGAGACGAAUAGAGGCUGCGCUUCAUAAACACAUGGAACCUGCCCACAAAAUAGCCAAAUAGUUUAGUGUUUUGCUAAAUUCUGCUCUGGCUUGCUGCAUGGCCUAUCUCGCCAAAAAUCAAUGCUAGGCUGUCCUCAGAUUGGUAUUCAUGUUCAGCCUCAGAUCAUCCUAGUUAAUGUUACUUUGUUUUAUGAUUAAAUUCCUAGAAUUCUGCUUAUUUUUCUUAAAACUUGGUUCUUAUUCAUCCCCUUUCUGACUCUUUUUGGAUUGAACUUCUGACAAGUUUUUGGCCACUUGGAAAGCUCUGUUGGGCUCACCUCAGGUGCCCAGCUCCCAGCAUUAUGCCUUCCCAUCCCCAUGGAGAAAUUUAUAUCCUUCAGAGAUGGCCCCUCAGCCAACCUGUCCUCUCCUGCACCUUUGGAGCUUGGGUCACCAAUAGGAUGGUCCUUAAAAAAGGCUACCUCUGCGAAUGGAGCUGUUUGUCUCUCAUAAUUUGUGAUAUGCUGCAUCUAUUCUGAUGUCCACCAGAUAAAAGUACAUGCCAACACUGGGUGCAAACAUUGCACCUUAUCAGAUUCUGUGCAUCGUUACCUACUAUUAAGAAUUUUACUGGACUUUAGUUAAUAAUUUGCAACCCAAGAUAAUAAGACAAAUUCCUACUGUUGUGGUGUUUGGAAUUAUGAAAUCAUUAUACCGGGGCACCUGGGCAACUCAGUGGUUGAGCAUCUCCCUUUGGCUCAGGGCAUGAUCCCGGGGUCCUGGGAUCGAGUCCCACAUCAGGCUCCCCACAGGGAGCCUGCUUCUCCUUCUGACUGAGUCUCUGUCUCUCUCUCUCUCUCUCUGUGUCUCUUAUGAAUAAAUAAAAUCUUUAAAAAAAUCAUUAUACUAAAAGAGCCCAUAGACAUUCUCUAGUACAAUCCUUUCUCGAUAUCUAUGAGGAGCCCAGAGCCCAGAGCAGUUCCAUAACUUCUCUGAGGUCACACAGCAGCAGACUAAGACAUGAAAAUAUAAUCUCCUGCCUUUUAUUGUAUUUUUUUUUCUUUAUCACACUUUCAGUUUCGGUCUGAUAUAAAUAAUGCACAUACAUGUUGGUGAGAAAGCACACUUUUUGUCUUAGGGCCAUUCUAAGAAUAGCACUGAGCCCAGGAAAAUAAUCAUAGUCUGACAACUGCUCACAACAGCUCCCACUAGAGAGAAAGACAAGGCUCCAAACACGAGGAGGGGCAUCAGCUGUGGGGUGCUGGGAGAAGCUGGGCUGGGCGCUAUCGAGGGGCCCCCUGUCUAGUGGUGACAUGAAGCAGAUAGACAGCAAGUGUGACUGGGCUGUCUGCAGAGCUGGGGUGGGUGAAGGGGUUUCGAGGUGGUUAGUGGGUUGUUAUGACACGGUUUGUCACCUCUUGGACAGAAAUGAAAUGCAGCCGCGCCAGUGAGGCCAUUGUCCUUAUGUGAGAGACUGGCCCACCCCAGGUGCAGGCGGCUGCAAGGCCGGAAAGGGAAAUGCCAUUUUAUAAAGGAUUUUCUAGCACAUUAACUGCAUAAUUCCUCAGCAGGAUCGUGAGCUCGGUGCAAAGUGCAGCCUUCUCCCCCAUAAUUGCCAUGGUGGGAUUGCUUGCGGAAAGCCUUCAAAGCCCUUGCGAGAGGCACGGCCCAUCUCAGCACCCAGUGAGACGACGCCCUCGCGGCUCCUCUCUUCACCUUUCUUUUUAAGGCUGCCAAUCAAAAUCGUUUCCCAAAACUGGGCUAAUUUCACGAGACAAUCUGGCAUUAGCCCUUGCUGAUGUCUUCAAUGCACUUGACUAAGGGAUCCAGGCUUCAAAUGUCGAAUACGGGCUCUGAGUGUCAGCCCACACUCCAGGAGAGAGUCACAUGUCAAAAUAUAUUUCUUAUUAUGGGAGCCGAGCUGACCAAGGUCAGGAUUAUGAAGGUUUGACAGCCUUCCCAUUUUUCUUACUACGAUGCUUGCCUUUCCUCCUUCCCGGCCAGAAUUCUCAUACCAGGAAGGAAAAAAAAAAAAAAAAAAAAAAAAA